CACCACUCAAGCUCUGCUUGGUAUUGGGCGCCGUCCUUCACCGGACGCGCCUCAAAGACCUCGGCGGUGGCGUCUUGCCUCAAGCGUAGUAGAAAACACCUCGCUUUGGAGGACGGGACGUUCGCUCGCCGGACGAACCUUCUGAAUUUUCUCAA
This 155-nucleotide unclassified non-coding RNA is filed under the name uncultured Endomelanconiopsis. RNAcentral describes it as "sequence contains ITS2". Lineage: Eukaryota; Fungi; Ascomycota; Dothideomycetes; Botryosphaeriales; Botryosphaeriaceae. The record is from RNAcentral.